Molecule: ribosomal RNA, 385 nt
Filed under: uncultured bacterium
Lineage: Bacteria
Description: bacterial SSU rRNA
Rfam family: Bacterial small subunit ribosomal RNA
Source: RNAcentral
AUUGAACGCUGGCGGUAGGCCUAACACAUGCAAGUCGAACGCGAAAGUCCUUCGGAUGAGUAGAGUGGCGGACGGGUGGAGUAACGCGUAGGAAUCUAUCCUGUAGUGGGGGAGUAACGUUUCGAAAGGAACGCUAAUACCGCAUACGCCCCACGGGGAAAGCGGGGAGUCCUUCGGGACCUCGCGCUAUAGGAAGAGCCUGCGUCGGAUUAGCUAGUUGGUAGGGUAAAGGCCUACCAAGGCGACGAUCCGUAGCUGGUCUGAGAGGAUGAUCAGCCACACCGGAACUGAGACACGGUCCGGACUCCUACGGGAGGCAGCAGUGGGGAAUAUUGCGCAAUGGGCGAAAGCCUGACGCAGCCAUGCCGCGUGUGUGAAGAAGGCC